This 656-nucleotide long non-coding RNA is filed under the name Amborella trichopoda. RNAcentral's name for it is "long non-coding RNA (ATRI_LNC003414)". The record is from RNAcentral. Lineage: Eukaryota; Viridiplantae; Streptophyta; Magnoliopsida; Amborellales; Amborellaceae.
AGAACUUCCACAAAAAUUAUGUAUAAGAAUAUCUUGAAAACCACGCAGAAGAUCAUGGAAUAUUUGUUUUCUUUGCAUCUUGAAUAUGGCGAUUAUACAUUUCAAGAUGAAACAAGUGACGGGGUAAGAGACUCCAAGCAAUGAUAAAAGUUGUGUGGCUUUUAUUUAGGAUGCUGUAUCUAUGAGCUGCUGGCCACGAACAUGUUCUUGUAUUCCUGCAGCAAGCGGUAUAUGGUGCGAUAGGGCACGAUGUAGAAGACAUGGCCUGGGUUCAAGAGAGUGUCGGGGUGGACCACGAUCCAUGGGAAUUUGAAGACAUCAGGGCGAGUGACUAGGUGUCUAGGGUUCCUAUUCAUGAUUUGUGAGGCCAAAAUUGGGCUUGUGUGGAUCUCCACUGACCCACCUGGGUGGACCAUCUUCAGUAUCCCUUCUUCGGCCCUUACCCUGUUCAUCCGCUCGAAAUUACAGAUAAAUAGAUAGAUAAAUAGAUAGAGAGAGAAAGAGAGAGGAGGAGAGAGAGACUUAGGAUAGAGAGGUAGAUAGACUUAAACUUGGGAUGGAGAGAAAGAGAGAGAGAGAGGAUUUGAUGGUUUUAAAAUGGUGCUCUGGGGGUUUGGGAGCUUAGUAAGCAUCGAAUGAGAAAUGAGAUUGCUAAA